Fukomys damarensis (Damara mole-rat) is the source of this 345-nucleotide long non-coding RNA. RefSeq lists it as uncharacterized. The transcript is spliced from 3 exons. The record is from RefSeq and is a predicted model, not a curated record. Lineage: Eukaryota; Metazoa; Chordata; Mammalia; Rodentia; Bathyergidae.
CGUGUCUGUGGAACUGAAUAGAGCAGAAGCAACAUACUGAAGAGUGAAAAUGGAGGUGGUGAGGGUCAAGAGGACCAGCAGUGGCCCUCUGCCAUGUAAAGCCAUUUGGAGAUUAUUCUCAGGUCAUUGUGAAGUCAAAGAAAGACUUUAAAUGGGGUACAGGGUCACAUACAUAUGUCCAGAAGGCUGACAGAGAAGGAGGAGUGGGAGCUGUAACACAGAUCCAGGCCUCAUCAGAAGUGGGAGCAUGCAGAUUAGAUACACAGAGGAGAACCACAUGAAGACAGGCAGAGACUGGAGUUAUGCAGCUUCAAGCCAAACAAUGCCUCACGUCACCAGAAGCUG